This 258-nucleotide unclassified non-coding RNA is filed under the name uncultured fungus. RNAcentral describes it as "partial contains 18S rRNA, ITS1, 5.8S rRNA". The record is from RNAcentral. Lineage: Eukaryota; Fungi.
GCAGAAGGAUCAUUAGUGAAGAUUUGGGCAGGCCAUACGGACGCCAAAAAGUGUCCCUGGCCGCCUACACCCACUAUACAUCCACAAACCCGUGUGCACUGUUUUGGAGAAAGGCUUCAGAGAAGUUUUUUGUGGCCUCUCUGGGGGUCUUUCUUCGCUACAAACUCGAAUGGUUAUUAUGAACGUGGAACUUGGUUGGACCGUCACUUGACAACAAACUAUACACAACUUUCGACAACGGAUCUCUUGGUUCUCCCA